UACGUAGGGGGCUAGCGUUGUCCGGAAUCAUUGGGCGUAAAGCGCGUGUAGGCGGUCCGGUAAGUCCGCUGUGAAAGUCGGGGGCUCAACCCUCGGAUGCCGGUGGAUACUGGAUGGCUUGAGUUCGGGAGAGGGAUGUGGAAUUCCAGGUGUAGCGGUGAAAUGCGUAGAUAUCUGGAGGAACACCGGUGGCGAAGGCGGCAUCCUGGACCGACACUGACGCUGAGGAGCGAAAGCCAGGGGAGCAAACGGG
Molecule: ribosomal RNA, 253 nt
Filed under: uncultured bacterium
Lineage: Bacteria
Description: partial 16S ribosomal RNA
Rfam family: Bacterial small subunit ribosomal RNA
Source: RNAcentral